This 253-nucleotide ribosomal RNA is filed under the name uncultured bacterium. RNAcentral's name for it is "partial 16S ribosomal RNA". It matches the Rfam family "Bacterial small subunit ribosomal RNA", at positions 524 to 776 of the family's 1533-position model. The record is from RNAcentral.
UACGUAGGGUGCAAGCGUUAAUCGGAAUUACUGGGCGUAAAGCGUGCGCAGGCGGUGAUGUAAGACAGAUGUGAAAUCCCCGAGCUCAACUUGGGAACUGCAUUUGUGACUGCAUCGCUGGAGUGCGGCAGAGGGGGAUGGAAUUCCGCGUGUAGCAGUGAAAUGCGUAGAUAUGCGGAGGAACACCGAUGGCGAAGGCAAUCCCCUGGGCCUGCACUGACGCUCAUGCACGAAAGCGUGGGGAGCAAACAGG